This 647-nucleotide unclassified non-coding RNA is filed under the name uncultured Prochlorococcus sp. Its description in RNAcentral is "partial 16S-23S ribosomal RNA intergenic spacer; may also contain 16S ribosomal RNA and 23S ribosomal RNA". The stretch from base 303 to 375 matches the Rfam family "tRNA". Lineage: Bacteria; Bacillati; Cyanobacteriota; Cyanophyceae; Synechococcales; Prochlorococcaceae. The record is from RNAcentral.
UUGUGGAGGAGGACGCCGAAGGUGGGGCUAAUGACUGGGGUGAAGUCGUAACAAGGUAGCCGUACCGGAAGGUGCGGCUGGAUCACCUCCUAACAGGGAGACAACAAAAUGUAAAUAUUAAUUUUGUCACCUUAGGUCGAUCGGUAUCUCAGAUUCUUAUUUUUUAAGAAUUUCAGUUUCUAAGUUUUUUCUAGGUCACACCCAUCACUUUUUCCUGGGCCAUUAGCUCAGGUGGUUAGAGCGCACCCCUGAUAAGGGUGAGGUCCCUGGUUCAAGUCCAGGAUGGCCCAUAUCUCUAUGUUGGGGGUAUAGCUCAGUUGGUAGAGCGCCUGCUUUGCAAGCAGGAUGUCAGCGGUUCGAGUCCGCUUACCUCCACUGAUUACCACCUCUUCCAUAUCUUUACAGAGGGGAAAUGUUUUGAGUUGUGAUCAAAUUCUGAACGAAUCUAGCUUCCUAAUUAUUUUUAAUUAAGAUGCUGGACUCAUUGAAUUGAUUUCAAUGUUUUCAGAGAACCUUGACAACUGCAUAGAUUAUUUUUAUAGACAAUUAGCAUCUUUAAUGAUGCAGAUUUAUUAUUUGUGCGAAUGCAUUAAUAACAAUUCUAUUAAGCUGAUGCUUCAAUUUUGAAGUUAUUGGUCAAGCUACAA